This 2923-nucleotide ribosomal RNA is filed under the name Escherichia coli. RNAcentral describes it as "23S ribosomal RNA". It matches the Rfam family "Bacterial large subunit ribosomal RNA". Lineage: Bacteria; Pseudomonadati; Pseudomonadota; Gammaproteobacteria; Enterobacterales; Enterobacteriaceae. The record is from RNAcentral.
GGGUUGUGAGGUUAAGCGACUAAGCGUACACGGUGGAUGCCCCGCAGUCAGAGGCGAUGAAGGACGUGCUAAUCUGCGAUAAGCGUCGGUAAGGUGAUAUGAACCGUUAUAACCGGCGAUUUCCGAAUGGGGAAACCCAGUGUGAUUCGUCACACUAUCAUUAACUGAAUCCAUAGGUUAAUGAGGCGAACCGGGGAACUGAAACAUCUAAGUACCCUGAGGAAAAGAAAUCAACCGAGAUUCCCCAGUAGCGGCGAGCGAACGGGGAGCAGCCCAGAGCCUGAAUCAGUGUGUGUGUUAGUGGAAGCGUCUGGAAAGGCGCGCGAUACAGGGUGACAGCCCCGUACACAAAAAUGCACAUGCUGUGAGCUCGAUGAGUAGGGCGGGACACGUGGUAUCCUGUCUGAAUAUGGGGGGACCAUCCUCCAAGGCUAAAUACUCCUGACUGACCGAUAGUGAACCAGUACCGUGAGGGAAAGGCGAAAAGAACCCCGGCGAGGGGAGUGAAAAAGAACCUGAAACCGUGUACGUACAAGCAGUGGGAGCACGCUUCGGCGUGUGACUGCGUACCUUUUGUAUAAUGGGUCAGCGACUUAUAUUCUGUAGCAAGGUUAACCGAAUAGGGGAGCCGAAGGGAAACCGAGUCUUAACUGGGCGUUAAGUUGCAGGGUAUAGACCCGAAACCCGGUGAUCUAGCCAUGGGCAGGUUGAAGGUUGGGUAACACUAACUGGAGGACCGAACCGACUAAUGUUGAAAAAUUAGCGGAUGACUUGUGGCUGGGGGUGAAAGGCCAAUCAAACCGGGAGAUAGCUGGUUCUCCCCGAAAGCUAUUUAGGUAGCGCCUCGUGAAUUCAUCUCCGGGGGUAGAGCACUGUUUCGGCAAGGGGGUCAUCCCGACUUACCAACCCGAUGCAAACUGCGAAUACCGGAGAAUGUUAUCACGGGAGACACACGGCGGGUGCUAACGUCCGUCGUGAAGAGGGAAACAACCCAGACCGCCAGCUAAGGUCCCAAAGUCAUGGUUAAGUGGGAAACGAUGUGGGAAGGCCCAGACAGCCAGGAUGUUGGCUUAGAAGCAGCCAUCAUUUAAAGAAAGCGUAAUAGCUCACUGGUCGAGUCGGCCUGCGCGGAAGAUGUAACGGGGCUAAACCAUGCACCGAAGCUGCGGCAGCGACACUAUGUGUUGUUGGGUAGGGGAGCGUUCUGUAAGCCUGUGAAGGUGUACUGUGAGGUAUGCUGGAGGUAUCAGAAGUGCGAAUGCUGACAUAAGUAACGAUAAAGCGGGUGAAAAGCCCGCUCGCCGGAAGACCAAGGGUUCCUGUCCAACGUUAAUCGGGGCAGGGUGAGUCGACCCCUAAGGCGAGGCCGAAAGGCGUAGUCGAUGGGAAACAGGUUAAUAUUCCUGUACUUGGUGUUACUGCGAAGGGGGGACGGAGAAGGCUAUGUUGGCCGGGCGACGGUUGUCCCGGUUUAAGCGUGUAGGCUGGUUUUCCGUGCAAAUCCGGAAAAUCAAGGCUGAGGCGUGAUGACGAGGCACUACGGUGCUGAAGCAACAAAUGCCCUGCUUCCGUGAAAGCCUCUAAGCAUCAGGUAACAUCAAAUCGUACCCCAAACCGACACAGGUGGUCAGGUAGAGAAUACCAAGGCGCUUGAGAGAACUCGGGUGAAGGAACUAGGCAAAAUGGUGCCGUAACUUCGGGAGAAGGCACGCUGAUAUGUAGGUGAAGCGACUUGCUCGUGGAGCUGAAAUCAGUCGAAGAUACCAGCUGGCUGCAACUGUUUAUUAAAAACACAGCACUGUGCAAACACGAAAGUGGACGUAUACGGUGUGACGCCUGCCCGGUGCCGGAAGGUUAAUUGAUGGGGUUAGCGGUAACGCGAAGCUCUUGAUCGAAGCCCCGGUAAACGGCGGCCGUAACUAUAACGGUCCUAAGGUAGCGAAAUUCCUUGUCGGGUAAGUUCCGACCUGCACGAAUGGCGUAAUGAUGGCGGAGCUGUCUCCACCCGAGACUCAGUGAAAUUGAACUCGCUGUGAAGAUGCAGUGUACCCGCGGCAAGACGGAAAGACCCCGUGAACCUUUACUAUAGCUUGACACUGAACAUUGAGCCUUGAUGUGUAGGAUAGGUGGGAGGCUUUGAAGUGUGGACGCCAGUCUGCAUGGAGCCGACCUUGAAAUACCACCCUUUAAUGUUUGAUGUUCUAACGUUGACCCGUGAUCCGGGUUGCGGACAGUGUCUGGUGGGUAGUUUGACUGGGGCGGUCUCCUCCUAAAGAGUAACGGAGGAGCACGAAGGUUGGCUAAUCCUGGUCGGACAUCAGGAGGUUAGUGCAAUGGCAUAAGCCAGCUUGACUGCGAGCGUGACGGCGCGAGCAGGUGCGAAAGCAGGUCAUAGUGAUCCGGUGGUUCUGAAUGGAAGGGCCAUCGCUCAACGGAUAAAAGGUACUCCGGGGAUAACAGGCUGAUACCGCCCAAGAGUUCAUAUCGACGGCGGUGUUUGGCACCUCGAUGUCGGCUCAUCACAUCCUGGGGCUGAAGUAGGUCCCAAGGGUAUGGCUGUUCGCCAUUUAAAGUGGUACGCGAGCUGGGUUUAGAACGUCGUGAGACAGUUCGGUCCCUAUCUGCCGUGGGCGCUGGAGAACUGAGGGGGGGCUGCUCCUAGUACGAGAGGACCGGAGUGGACGCAUCACUGGUGUUCGGGUUGUCAUGCCAAUGGCACUGCCCGGUAGCUAAAUGCGGAAGAGAUAAGUGCUGAAAGCAUCUAAGCACGAAACUUGCCCCGAGAUGAGUUCUCCCUGACUCCUUGAGAGUCCUGAAGGAACGUUGAAGACGACGACGUUGAUAGGCCGGGUGUGUAAGCGCAGCGAUGCGUUGAGCUAACCGGUACUAAUGAACCGUGAGGCUUAACCUUACAACGCCGAAG